This is a long non-coding RNA of Bufo gargarizans (Asiatic toad), 349 nucleotides long. RefSeq lists it as uncharacterized. The transcript has 3 exons. Lineage: Eukaryota; Metazoa; Chordata; Amphibia; Anura; Bufonidae. The record is from RefSeq and is a predicted model, not a curated record.
UGUAGCUAUGGGACCUUAGGGGCUUAUUUAUAAAUGUGGCCUUGAUUUUUGUGGGAGAAAUUCUAUUUUGAGAAUACUUCCCAACUUUCAGCAGUUGAUUUUGUUUCUAGGUGUGGACACGACCCUUUUGAGACCCUGCCCCACUUCCCAGAUUUCUUAGGUGCAGGACUCUCUUCUUAUGAUAAACAAUGGACCUUUCCAUCAAUGUUCCACCAAGGAUGGAGAAGGACGGAGACCUCAUGUCUGUAAGGAUAUUAGACAUCACCCUGGAGAUCAUCUCCUUGAUAACUGGAGAGGAUUACACAGUAGUGAAGAAGUCGUCUGGUGAGUGUGUGACACCCCGUGUGUC